This is a non-coding RNA of Takifugu rubripes (torafugu), 46 nucleotides long. Lineage: Eukaryota; Metazoa; Chordata; Actinopteri; Tetraodontiformes; Tetraodontidae. The record is from Rfam.
ACAAAGGCUCUUUUAAGAGCCAUAUAAAUUCUUUAAAAAGGGGCUU